CACAUCCACACUGGUUUGGAGUUGACAGGAUGUGGUUCAGAGGCAGCCUAACCUUCUCCAUCUCCAAAUGUCAGGGACAGGACAGGCUGCAGGAGGGAGAGCCUGCCGGGGAUGAAUCACUGAGAGAGGGUUUUGUUUGUUGAAAAAACCAGCCGUGCCAUCUCUUCUCCCACCCUUUUCCUGGAACUCUGAAGUUUGGCUUUUGUUGGAUUAAUGACCUCUAAGUUCCCACCUCGGUUUCUGGGAUCAAGUCCCUUAGCCACUCAGCACCUUGGCCCACUGGGCAGCAGGCUGACAGUGAGGGCUGAGCUCACGUGGCAGCUGUGGGGGGCUCAAUGGAGUCUCUUCUGAAGGUGGAGACAGGUCCGCUGGAGCCCAGACGUACCCCCUCUGGAGCCAUUACACAACCUGCUCUGUUUCAGCUUCUGUUGUCUCUCUACCCUGCAAACUCCUCAUCACCGUACAAAACCCAAUCUUGUCAGCCACUGUUGGCAUUGCAGCAUGAGUUUUCUGUCUGCUGCCCUUGGAUCGAUCGUAGGCUCCCUCCCCAAGGUUAAGGAUUGUACUUGUUGGCUCAGAGAAAUGAGCCAAUUCCAGUGUCUGGCAUAGCUGCAGAAUGAAAUGUUUCAUCUCUGGAAGAAAGGAAAGUUGGCCCCUCUGAGACCUCUGGGCACAUCUGAACACACAGGCCUGCUGUGUGCCCUAAGUCUGUCACUGUGAACACAAUGUUGUCUCUGUGGCUUUACCCAACCUAAGCCUUAAGUCUUUGGGUCUGCAGUCUUGGCUCCUGUGUCCUGCAAAGCUAGAGUGGAAUAAACUUGUCUUGCUUA
This 830-nucleotide long non-coding RNA is filed under the name Mus pahari (shrew mouse). RNAcentral describes it as "lncRNA (MGP_PahariEiJ_G0006263.1)". The record is from RNAcentral. Lineage: Eukaryota; Metazoa; Chordata; Mammalia; Rodentia; Muridae.